UGGUUCUGGCAUCGAUGAAGAACGCAGCGAAAUGCGAUAAGUAAUGUGAAUUGCAGAAUUCAGUGAAUCAUCGAAUCUUUGAACGCACAUUGCGCCCGCCGGCAUCCCGGCGGGCAUGCCUGUCCGAGCGUCAUUGCCACCCUCAGGCUCUGCCUGGCGUUGGAGCGCUGCGCUGCAGCCUCCGAAAGACAGCGGCGGCCGCGUCCCCCCCGCCGAGCGUAGUACAACACACCUCGCUCCGGCCUCCGGGCGCGUCCGGCCGGAAAACUGCACUGUAGUUGACCUCGGAUCAGGUAGGAAUACCCGCUGA
This 310-nucleotide unclassified non-coding RNA is filed under the name uncultured fungus. RNAcentral describes it as "partial contains 5.8S ribosomal RNA and internal transcribed spacer 2". The stretch from base 1 to 133 matches the Rfam family "5.8S ribosomal RNA", at positions 22 to 154 of the family's 154-position model. The record is from RNAcentral. Lineage: Eukaryota; Fungi.